Molecule: long non-coding RNA, 12297 nt
Filed under: Nicotiana tabacum (common tobacco)
Lineage: Eukaryota; Viridiplantae; Streptophyta; Magnoliopsida; Solanales; Solanaceae
Description: long non-coding RNA (NTAB_LNC009802)
Source: RNAcentral
UGCAGAACCCUAGACCAAAAAAUGACAGUAGCCGUUUCUGAUCUUGAAAACACACCCUAAAAAUCGGCCAUCCACAACUCCAAAUAUCAUCGACACUCUCCAACAACACAUCAUUUCUCUCCUUUGAUUCUCAUCCAAAAACACACACUGAUAAAGAAAGGGACUUCACCCCCCAAAUUCCCAAAAGAAGAACGCGCGCACACACACACACAAAAGAGAAUAAAUAGAAAAAUCACCCACAUCCAGCUUCUUUUUUGAAUUUGUUUUCAUCUGAUGAAAUAUGGUUGAGUCGCCUAGUGGUAUUCAGUUUCACCGCCGCUGCUGCUUCGUUUCUUGUUCAAGAGUUCAAGCUCAUUUUUAGAUUUACCGAGUGAAUUUAAGAGCUUCUGUAGUUUUGCCUUGGCCAUAAACCACAUCCAUUUCAUUUUCAAAAUCUGUUCAAUCUAUCGAGGUCACUGCCUUGCCGGCACUUCGCCAGAGUUUCCCCAUUUUCAGCCAAACACCUCCCUGAACAUCGAGCCCUCAGCUGUUUUAGACUAAAAAGAUACCCCUAGAGCUCCGAAAUCUUGCAUUGAAGUUGUGCUCGAAGUCGAGCUUCACCAGAAACCGUGCUCACUGGAAUUGCUUAAUUUCUAUUGAGGUUUGAUGCACCGUUGAAUUGAGGCUAUCUCUUGAGGUGUGGUUUGCGAGGCCGUUUGAGUUUGAUCGAUGUCUCGAGUUCUGGAGUUAGCGAGUCACUCGAAUCUAUCAGUGUAAUUGCUGGAAUUUCCGUUAAUUUAAACUAUUUCAGGUUCAUCUUUUCUCUUUUUUCUCUGUUAUUUAUGAUGUUAAUCUCAUGUGUCGUGAUUGAAAUAUGUUGCUGACCUAUUAUCUAAGUUGUUUGUUGAUUUCAUAUGUGUUCAGUUGUACGUGUUCAUCGAGUUCCUUACGUGAAUCAGUUCUGGUUUUGAAUAUUGUUUCUACUGUGUCGGAUUUGUGCAUUUAGACUUAUUCCGGUUUAGUGAAAGUAGUUGAGUCAGCUGAUCAAGAACAGGCAGCUUUGGAUGAGAUUUAAGUUGUGAAGUUCUGAAAACUAAAGUUUCAUAACUAUAACACUUUCAAGAAACAAAUGUAAAAUAUUGCAGCAAAGGCUGUAUCAUUGCUAAAUUUAUGUGUGACAUAUAACAAAAUUUAGCAAUUUUUCAACUUCCUGAUAGUAACUUUUUCAUUUUAAUUUCAAGGUUUAUCCAUCAACAGAACAAUGGACAGUAAACUUAUGCUAUCUUUCAAGCUUUAAUGGUAACUUGGAAAUCAACGUAUUUACAUAUUUGGUCACAUUAUUUGACAUUCCCUUGUGCUUAAUAUCAUUUAUAUGUUAUUGAAGAGUUUUGAGUUUUGAUCUUUUGGAGUCAUUUGGCAAGUGUUCAUAUCGAAAAUAGGUUCUGUUGUUCUACUUUUGUCACGACCCUAGUUCUCCCUCCGUGAACCAUCGUGACGACACCUAGUCUCUACGACUAGGUAAGCCUAACAGCGCAAAAAAUAAACCAAUUUACGGAAUAAAUCAUUAAAAACCAAAAUAGUUAAAUAAACAGCGUUAAAAAGUGUCGUCGGCAUACACAAUAACAACUCUCAAACUAACAACAUUUCCCAAAACCCGAAAUCUUAUGAUCACAAACCUUUGAAUGUCUACAAGUAUCUAACUCCAGAAUGUCUAACAAAGAAACUAAAGUACAGAAGGGCUAAUACAAAAGGGAGAGUGGAAAGGGACUCUUCGGUCUGCGGACGCGGUAGAUAUACAUCGAAGUCUCUACGAACGCCUCGUCUCAAGCGUGAUAAGUCUGAGUGGAGGUACCUGGAUCUGCACAUGAAAAACAUGCACAGAAAGGGCAUGAGUACACCACAGCGGUACCCAGUAAGUGUCAAGCCUAACCUCGGUCGGGUAGUGAUGAGGAAGGUUAGGGCCCUACUGAGACUAAAUGAAAUAUGAGGAGAGACAGUAUAAGAUAAAGCAGUACAGUUGAAAGACAACAAUAAGAAUUAAUACAGGAUAAUAAGGAUAACUACAACUGAAACAAAGGCAAAAACAAUCACCAGGAAUACCACUCUUCACAAAGAUAAUAACCGGGGAUCUCUCAGUAUCCCGAGGAUCUCUUAAUACCCUCAAUAUAUGCCAGGGUUCUCUUGGUAUCCCGAGGAUCUCUUGGUAUCCUCAAUAUAUGCUAGGGAUCUCUUGGUAUCCUCAAAUAUAUCCUAGGAAUCUCUUGGUAUCCUCAAUAUAUUCUAGGGAUCUCUUCGAUCCCGAGGAUCUCUUGAAACUAAACCCCAGAAACUUUGAUUUUUCUGCCCAGCAAAUCCGCAUCUGCGGUACUGCUUCUGCGGUCAAGGGGACCGCUCCUGCGAUUUCCACUUAAAACCCCUUCGCCGCACCUGCAACCCAGAAUCCGCAGCUGCGGUCACGCAGGUGCGGUACAUCACCCGCUUCUAUAGUUCCCUGCUUUUCCUCAGCUGGACGCUUCUGCGGUUUAAAUUCUGCAUCUACAAGAGUCGCAUCUGCGACCUCUCAAUCGCAGAUGCGGUUAUGACAGCAGCCCAAAGAACUUCAACUGCAAACUCCAAGUUCCAGCUUCCCGUUAACCACCCAAAAUCAUCCCGAGGCCCCCAGGACCUCAACCAAAAGCACGAAUAAGUCAUAUACCACUAUCCAAACUUGUACAAAUCUCCAAAACACCUCAAACAAAAUCGAAACAACCAAUUAGCAUCGGAUUCAAGCCUAAGAACUUCAAAAACUCUCAAAAUACGUUUUCGGUCAAAAAUUCUAUCAAACCUCGUCGGAAUGACCUGAAAUUUUACAUACACGACACAUUCAACACUACGGAGCUACUCCAACUUCUGGAAUUCUAUUCUAACUCUCGGAUCAAAAUCUCACUAUCAAACAAGUGCUCCAAGGGAGCUAACGGAACCAUCGGAAUUCCAUUCUGAGGCCUUCUUCACACUGUUCUGACUACUGUCAAAUUUUCAAAACUUAAGCUCUCAUUUAGGGACUAAGUGUCCCAAAACUCCAAUUAAUUCCUCCCGGCAACUCACAAUAGCCGAAAAAAACACGGGGAGAGCAGUUAAUAGGGGGUCGAGGAGUUAAUUCUUAAGACAACUGGCUGAGUCAUCACAUCCUCCUACACUUAAACAUUUGUUCAUCCUCGAACGAGCAUAGAGAUAUACUUGAAGUAGUGAAAAGAUGAGGGUAACGGCUGCGCAUAUCCUGCUCGGUCUCCCAGGUCGCCUCCUCGACUGGCUGAUCCCGCCACUGAACCUUCACUGACGCAAUGUUCUUUGACCUUAGCUUACUAACCUGUUUGUCCAAUAUUGCCACUUGCUCCUCAACAUAGGAUAGAUCCUUGAACAACUGGACUGAACUGAAAUCCAACACGUGCGACAGAUCAAUGUGGUACAUCUGGACCAUCGAAACAUGAAAUACCGGAUUAACUCCUGCCAAGCUGGGAGGUAAGGCAAGCUCAUAAGCAACCUCCCCAACAUGCCUCAAUAUCUAAAAAGGGCCAAUAAACCUCGGACUCAACUUACCUUUCUUCCCAAAUCUCAAUAACGCCCUUCAUAGGCCAAAGCCGAAGCAGAACCUGCUCUCCAACCAUAUAGGAAACAUCAUAAACCUUUCGGUCAGCAUAACUUUUCUGUCUGGACUAGGCUGUUUGGAUUCUAUCCUGAAUCACAUUAACCUUCUCUAAAGCAUCCUGAACCAAGUCUGUGCCCAAUAAUCUAGCCUCGCCCGGCUCGAACCAACCCACCGAGGAUCUACACCGCCUACCAUAUAAAGCCUCAUACGGUGCCCUCUGAAUGCUGGACUGAUAGUUGGUGUUGUAGGCAAACUUCGCCAAUGGAAAGAACUGAUCCCAAGACCCUCCAAACUCAAUCACACACGUAGAGAGCAUAUCCUCAAGAAUCUGAAUAGUGCGCUCGGACUGUCCGUCUGAGGGUGAAAUGAUGUACUCAACUCCACCCAAGUACCCAACUCAUGCUGAACGGCCCUCCAGAACCGUGAUGUGAAUUGAGUACCUCUAUCUGAAAUGAUGGAAAUUGGAAUACCAUGCAGAAUAACAAUCUCCUAGAUAUAAAUCUCCACUAGAUGCUCCGAAGAAUAGGUAGUACACACAAGAAUGAAGUGCGUAGACUUGGUCAGCUGAUCCACAAUUACCCAAAUAGCAUCAAACUUUCUCAAAGUCCAUGGGAGCCCAACUACAAAGUCCAUGGUGAUCCACUCCCACUUCCACUCUGGAAUCUCUAUCUAUUGAAGCAACCCACCUGGUCUUUGGUGUUCAUACUUCACCUGCUGACAAUCGAGGCGCCGAGCUACAAACCCCACUGUGUCUUUCUUCAUCCGCCUCCACCAAUAGUGCUGCCUCAAAUCCUGGUACAUCUUUGCAGCACCCGGAUGGAUGGAAUACCGCGAACCGUGGGCCUCCUCUAGAAUCAACUCCCUAAGCCCAUCAACAUUGGGUACACAAAUCUGACCCUACAUCCUCAAUACCUCGUCAUCACUAAUAGUCACAUCUCUGGCAUCACCAUGCUGAACCUCGUCCUUGAGGACAAGCAAAUGAGGGUCAUCAUACCGACGCUGCCUGAUACGAUCAAAUAAGGAAGACCGAGAAACCACGCAAGCUAGAACCCGACUGGGCUCCGAAAGAUCCAAUCUCACAAACUAGCUGGCUAAGGCCUGAACGUCCAUCGCCAUAGGCCUCUCCGAUGCUGGUCAGUAAGCCAAACUCCCCAAACUCUCUGCCCGGUGACUUAAAGCAUCGGCCACUACAUUGGCCUUGCCCGGGUAAUACAAAAUAGUGAUAUCAUAGUCCUUCAGCAACUCUAACCACCUUCUCUAGCACAAAUUAAGGUCCUUUUGCUUGAACAAGUGCUGCAAGCUCUGAUGAACAGUAUAAAUCUCACAUGGAACACUGUAAAAUAAUGAUGCCAGAUCUUCAGGGAGUGAACAAUGGCAGCUAACUCGAGGUUGUGGAUAGGAUAAUUUUCUCGUGAACCUUUAACUGUCUAGACGCGUAGGCAAUCACCCUACCGUCCUACAUCAAAACCGCUCCAAGGCCAAUCCUCGAGGCAUCACAAUAGACAGUAUAAGGUCUCGAACCUGUAGGCAAUAUCCAAACUAGGUUGUAGUCAAAGCUGUCUUGAGAUUAUGAAAGCUCGCCUCACACUCUUCCGUCCACUGAAAUGGAGCACCCUUCUGGGUCAGCCUGGUCAUAGUGGCUGCAAUCGAUGAAAUUCCCUCCACAAAACGACAUUAGUAAACUGCCAAGCCAAGAAAAUUGGGGAUCUUUGUAGCUGAUGAUGGUUCGGGCCAACUUUGCACUGCCUCUACUUUCUUCGGAUCCACCUUAAUACCCUCACUCGAUAACACGUGGCCUAAGAAUGCCCUGGAAUCCAACCAAAACUCACAUUUUGAGAACUUAGCAUAUAAUUUCUUCUCUCUCAAAGUCUGAAACACAAUCCUCAGGUGCUGCUCAUGAUCUUCCCGGCUCCGGGAAUACCCCAAAAUAUCAUCAAUAAAGACAAUGAAGAAUGAGUCAAGAUAUAGCCGGAACAUACUGUGCAUCAAAUGCAUAAAGGCUGCUGGGGAAUUGGUAAGCCCAAACGACAUAACAAGGAACUCGUAAUGACCAUACCAGGUCCUAAAAGCUGUUUUCAGGAUAUUUGGCUCCCGACUCUUCAACCGAUGGUACCCUGAACACAAGUCAAUCUUAGAAAACACCCGUUCACCCUAUAGCUGGUCAAACAAAUCAUCAAUAUGAGGAAAAGGAUAACGGUUCUUCACUGUAACUUUGUUCAACUAGCGGUAAUCAAUGCACAUACGCAUAGAACCAUCCUUAUUCUUCACAAACAAGAUAGGAGCACCCCAUGGUGAUACACUGGGCCGAAUGAAACCCUUAUCAAGCAAUUCUUGUAACUGAUCCUUCAACUCCUUUAACUCAUGAGGAGCCAUACGAUAUGGAAGAAUAGAAAUAGGUUGAGUUCCCGGCAAUAGAUCAAUGCCAAAAUCAAUAUCUCUAUCAGGCAGCAUGCCCGAAAGGUCAACUGGAAAGACAUCAGAAAAAUCCCGUACUAUUGGGACUGAAUUAAUGGAAGAGGUAUGAAUAUUGGCAUCUCUUACAUAAGCUAGAUAUGCGUCACACCCCUUCUCAACCAUACGCUGAGCCUUAAGGAAAGAAAUAACUCUACUGGGAGUAUGAUCUAAAGCACCCCUCCACUCAACAUGCGGUACACCUGGCAUAGCCAGCGUCAUGUUUUUGGCGUGACAAUCAAGAAUAGCAUAAUGGGGAGACAACCAGUCCAUGCCCAAGAUAAUAUCUAAAUCUACCAUGCUGAACAAUAAUAAAUCGACUCUGGUCUCAAAAUCACUAAGAGCAACCAAACACGACUGAUAAACGCGGUCCACAACAAGAGAAUCUCCCACAGGAGUAGAAACAUAAACAGGGGAACUCAAAGAAUCUCGAGAUACACCCAAAUGCGGGGCAAAAUAAGAAGACACAUAAGAAUAAGUGGAGCCUGGAUCGAAUAAACCGAUGCAUCUCUGAGACAAAUCAAGAAAAUACCUGUGAUAACAGAAUCGGAGGCAACAACCUUGGUACAGGCAGGAAGGGCAUAGUAUCGGGUCUGGCCUCCUUCUCUAGGGUGACCUCUACCUUCUCGACCUCCACCUCUAGCUAGCUGAGCAGGUGGGGUAGCAACAGGAGCUAUAACUAUAGCCUGAGAACUCUGCGGGGUACACUGUGGCUGAGAAGUCUGUGGAGGUGCACUCUUCCCAAGUCUAAGGCAAUCCCUCACCACAUGGAGUGUGUCACCACACUCAAAAUAAGCUCUAGGAGGAUGUGGCGGCUGUGACUGGCUCAGGCCAGGUCUGCUGGACUAACCUCUGAAAGCACCCUGCAUAGGAGGCGCGCUAGAUACCGGAGGUGCAUAAUAAGGCUCCUAAGGCCUAGGAGGAGCAGGAAUACCACUGGCUACUGGAAAAGCUGAAUGAAUAGGGCGACUCACAUAACCCCUACUAUGACGACCUACAGCUAGGGCACGCGCACCAGAAUAAUGGCCCGACUCUCGAGACUUCAUGGCCUCCCUCUCCUCUCUCUCCCUAACAUGCAUACCCUCAAUCCUCCUAGCAAUGCUCACCACCUGUUGAUAAGAAAUAUCCAUCUCCAACUCAUAAGUCAUGCUAGACCUGAUGCUAGGAAUAAGCCUCUCAAUAAACCAGCAAACCUUCUACGAACAAGAGAACCAAGGCUGGUGCAGGUCUAGCCAAACUAGUGUAAUAGACAGCAUACUCUGAGACAGUCAUAGCACCCUAGCGCAAAUGCUCAAACUUUGUGCACAAUGCGUCCCUAAGNNNNNNNNNNNNNNNNNNNNNNNNNUCAUCUGAUGCUAGACCACUGAAUACAGGAGACUUGUACUUCUUAAACCUCUCAAGCCUCAGCUGCUCAUCCUCGAAAACCACUGCCCUGUCCUCAGGCUGAUCUUGGACUGCAAGCUGUACAAGAAUAAUCUCAAGGCCUUAUUAACAUGCACUUGCUGCUCAAGAGUGCGGGUGGCAAGAGUCUGUAUUCCUCCCCCGGCCUGAGAUGUAGCUGCAGCAAGGGGAAGCAACCUUGCAUGAACCAAAGUGGUGUACAAGCUCAUGAAAUGUACCAAAGUCUCCUGAAGUGCUGGAGUAGUAGUAGCAGUAGGCGUAUCAAGUGCCUGGACUCUGGCUGGAACUACUGGUGGUACCUCGGUAGCAGCUCGCGCAGGUGCUCUGGCUACACCGCGUGCAUGUCCUCGGCCUCUACCCUGGCCCCGGCCUCUGACGGCUGCAGUAGGGGGCGCGGGCGCCUGAUCAUCUCGGGUAGCACAUGUCCUCACCAUCUGUGAGAGAAUAGAAGACAAAAGUUUAGAAUUGUGACAUUAAAUCUUCCACAACAAAAAAUCAAUGAAGUGGAAUUUUCCUAAUAGUUACAUAGCCUCUGCAGAUAAGUACAGACGUCUCCGUACCGAACCGCGAGACUCUAAUACACCGACUUGUGAUUCAUGACUCCUAUGAACCUAAAGCUCUGAUACCAACUUGUCACGACCCCGGUUCGACCUCUGUGAACCAUCAUGAUGGUACCUAGUCUCUACGACUAGGUAAGCCUAACAACACAAAAAAUAAACCAAUUUGCGGAAGAAAUAAUUAAAAACCAAAAUAGUGAAAUAAUCAGUGUUUUAAAGUGUCUCUCGACAUACAUAAUAACAACUCUCGAACUAACAACAUUUCCCAAAACCCAGAAUCUCAUGAUCACAAACCUUUAAAUGUCUACAAGUAUCUAACUCCAGAAUGUCUAAUAAAGAAACGAAAGUCCAGAAGGGCUAAUACAAAAAGGAGAGUAGAAAGGGACUCUUCGGUCUGCGGACGCGGCAGAUAUACCUCGGAGUCUCUACGAACGCCUCAUCUCAAGCAUGAUAAGUCUGAGUGGAGGUACCUGGAUUUGCACAUGAAAAAACAUGAACAGAAAGGGCAUGAGUACACCACAGUACUACUCAAUAAGUGCCAAGCCUAACCUCGGUCGGGUAGUGACGAGGAAGGUUAGGGCCCUAUUGAGAUUAAAUGAAAUAUGAGGUGUGAUAGUGUAAGAUAAAUCAGUACAGUUGAAAGAAAACAAUAAGAAUUAAUACAGGAUAAUAAGGAUAACUACAACUGAAUCAGAGGCAAAAAUAAUCACCGGGAAUGCCACUGUUCACAAAGAUAAUAAUUGGGGAUCUCUCAGUAUCCCGAGGAUCUCUUAGUACCCUCAAUAUAUGCCAGAGAUCUCUUGGUAUCCCGGUGAUCUUUUGGUAUACUCAAUAUAUGCUAGGGAUCUCUUAGUAUCCCGAGGAUCUCUUGGUAUCCUCAAUAUACGUGUUGGGGAUCUCUCGGUAUCCCGCACCUCAGCUCAAAUCAUAAAAUACGUAUAGGGGAUCUCUCGGGAUGUCGUCCCCUAGUCCCAAAGUGAAACAUACAUCAAUAACACAAGAAUACUUAAUUAAACUCAAUUUCGUACCAAAGUAAAACAGGUAAUUCUAACCUAACAUGCUUCAUGUAAUGCAAAUAAGGCAGUUCAAGCAAUAAGGCAAUUAAAUCAAUUAAACAUGCUUCUCUAAGCUAACAGCAGGCUUAAAUUUCAAGUAGAAUAAGCAGGAAAGGAAAACAUAAUUAAAGCUACUUUAGUGAAAAUAGGAUUUUCAACAAUUAUUACAAGUACGCACUCAUCACCUCACGUACAAGGCAUUUCAAUUACCACAAAUACCAAAUCCUAAGGGGAAUGUCCCCCCCACAAGGUUAGGCAAGCCACUUACCUCGAACCAGCUCAAAUCAAUUCGAAACCACGCUCUUGCCACGAGUAUUCGACUACAAAUGGCCUGAAUCUAUUCAAUUUUAUUGCAUAAUGUAAAUAACACUUCAAGUAACUAAUUCUAUAAAUAAAUUCUAAGCUAAUACGUGAACUUAGGUAAAAUGACCAAAAUGCCCUCCGGGCCCACGUCUCAAAAUCGGGUAAAAUCUACAUUUUCAGAAUCCUCAUACUCUCACGAGUUCAUUUAUAUCAAAAUUACCCCAUUCGAACAUCAAAAUCGUGAUCCAAAUUCAAAUGUUAGGUCUAAGAACUUUUCCAACUUUUCUUCAAUUCCACCCCCAAAUUCGAAUUUAAAGGAUGAAUUUAAGCAUAGAUUUAUGGAAAAGAAUCAAAAGUAAGUAAGAAUUUCUUACCCAGAACACCCAGAUGAAAAUCCCUCUCAAAAUCUCGAACCUCGAGCUCCCAAAUCAAUUUCUAACUUUUUGAAACUAAACCCUCGAAACUCGAAUUUUUCUGCCCAGCAAAUCUGCAUCUGCGGUCCACCUUCCGCGUCUGCGGUAUCGCUUCUGCGGUCAAGGGGACCGCUCCUAUGAUUUCCACUUAAAUCCCCUUCGCCACACCUGCGACCCAGAAUACGCAUCUGCGGUCACGCAGGUGCGGUACAUCACCCGCUUAUGCGGUUCCCUGCUUUUCCUCAGUUGGCCUCUUCUGCGGCUUAACUUUCGCAUCUGCAGGAGUCGCAUCUGCGGCCUCUCAACCGCAGAUGCGGUUAUGACAGCAUCCCAAAGAACUUCAGCUGCAAACUCCAAGUUCCAACUUCCCGUGAACCACCCAAAAUCAUCCCGAGGCCCCUGGGACCUCAACCAAAAGCAUGGAAAAGUCAUAUACCACUAUCCAAAGUUGUACAAAUCUCCAAAACACCUCAAACAACAUCGAAUCAACCAAUUAGCAUCGGAUUCAAGCCUAAGAACUUCAAAAACUCUCAAAAUAAGCUUUCGAUCAAAAAGUCUAUCAAACCUCGUCCGAAUGACUUGAAAAUUUGCACACACGUCACAUUCAACACUACGGAGCUACUCCAACUUUCGAAAUUUCAUUCCGACCCUCGAAUCAAAAUCUCACUAUCAAACCGAAAACUUCAAAAAUUCAACUUUUGGCAUUCCAAGCCUAAAUUAGUUACGAACCUCCAAAAUACAAUAUGAACAUGCUCCUAAACCCAAACUCACCCAAUGGAGCUAACAGAACAAUCAGAAUUCCAUUUUGAGGCCGUCUUCACAUGGUUCCGACUACGUUCAAAUUUCCAAAACUUAAGCUCUUAUUUAGGGACUAAGUGUCCCAAAACUCUCCGAAACUCCAAUUAAUUUCUCCCAACAACUCACAAUAGCAAAAAAAACACGGGGAAAUCAAUUAAUAGGGGGUCGUGGCAUUAAUUCUUAAGAAGACCGGCUGGGUCGUCAUAACUUUUUUACUAAUUUGAAUCAGCUUGGAUAAUUUAAUUGGGUUUCUAAAAAGUGCAAUUUUAGUUUGGGUCGGUAAAGUUUCGCGAACUUGGCACCAAGGAAGAGUAACAAAGAGCUGACGGGUUGGAUAUCUUUAAAUAGCAUUUUCAAUCCUUUAAGAAUUGGGUUUGGCCAAAUGCAUGAAGUAAGAAAUUAAGAGAAAUGGAGCAUGAAAUGUGUUUUUAUUUAUUUAUUUAUUUAUUUUAGUUUUGUUUUAAUUUUCUUAUAUACUCGUAGUUUGUUUUAGGCGCGUUUAAUAAAUUAUCGUGGCUAUGGGUACGACUGCCGUGGCAUGGUCACGGUACAUAAAUCUAAAUUCGGGUGUGCAUUUCAUGUGAGCCGAUCAUAACAACUUCAAACAUUAAUAAAAUAAACAUGUCGCGAAUCGUGGGUGCAUUUCAUGUAGCGUGGUUUGUGGCAUGUUCCAAAAUAAAUAAGUAUACGACAAUCGUAACUUGUUCAAGAACUAAUUCCAUAAAUCCUAAAAGCGGUUAAGGUUAAAAAUGCACCGUAGGUAUAAAAUAUAUAAUUAAUCAGAUAAUUAGGCCAAUAUUAGUAGUUGAGCGACCGUUCUAAAAUCAUGGAACCUGGGAAUGCAUAACACCUUCUCCCGGGUUAACAAAAUUCCUUACCCGGAUUUCUGUAUUUCACAGACUGUAAAAUAGAGUCAAACUUCCUCGAUUCGGGAUUUUUAACCGGUGACUUGGGACACCAUAAAUUAGCCCAAGUGACGACUCUAAAUUUAAAUAAAUAAUCCUGUUUCGAUUAUUGUCACUUUAAUUGGAAAAACUCUCAUAUACUCCCUUCCGGGGUAGAAAAAGGAGGUGUGAUAGCUCUGGCGACUCUGCUGGGGAAAAGAACCCAAAACUUCUGGUUCAGGGUUCAGAAUUCGAACUUAGAAUAGCUUUUAUUUGGCUUUUCUUUAUUAUNNNNNNNNNNNNNNNNNNNNNNNNNNNNNNNNNNNNNNNNNNNNAGUAAUAUUGAAAAAUAGGGCUAUUUUUGCAAAGUGGUUUGUUUAAUUGUGUCUGUAGAACUUUCAAUCCAUAAUUAGGUAUUUCUUUACUUUAAAGCCCAUCCUUGUCAAAUUUGCAUCUCUAGCCGGUUUUGGCCACAUAGGCCGUUUUGCAAAAUGGGGUCAUUUUCCAAAAGUGGUUCAGUGACCCAUGUUUUAGAGUUCUAUGUCCACAACAAGAUGUUCUCUCUGUUUAAGGUCUAUUAUGUUGAAUUUGCAUUCUUAGCCAUUUUUGUCCACAUAGACCAUUUCUAUAAAAUGGGUCAUUUUUGCAAAGUAAUUUUUCCAUGUCUUAGAGGUCACUUUUGUCGCGUUUACACUUCUGGCCGCCUUUUGGCCAUAUAAGCCGUUUUACAAAAAUAGCCUCAAUCGUGUCUUGCAUGUGUCCAGUAGGGAGUGUUAUUGUCUCACAUAGUGUUGGUUUCAGUUUUCUCAUACAGGUGUGGAUCUACUUACC